Long non-coding RNA from Lineus longissimus, 2521 nucleotides. RefSeq lists it as uncharacterized. NCBI's taxonomy places the organism in Eukaryota, Metazoa, Nemertea, Pilidiophora, Heteronemertea, Lineidae. The record is from RefSeq and is a predicted model, not a curated record. The transcript is spliced from 2 exons.
CACUCCCGGCUUUGUUCCGCGCGCCGACAUUUUUGUCUCGUCUAAUAAAUUCCUUCUAUUACACCAUUGAAGUUUCAAAGUAAUCAUGGCCAGCGGUGUAAAAGUUGAUAAUGAAGUUGUCGAAAUGGCGCAAGCGUUUAACAACGGAAGCGCCCGGGAUAAAUAUGCUUUUCUUACGGUGAGAAUCGCUGAUGAUAAAAAGUCCAUCAUUUGGGACGAGAAGGAAAGUGUUACCAAAAUAGAUGCCGGUAUGCUCACAACAAAACCUGUUCCAGAUGAGUUGGCGGAAGAAGAGGAAAACAAACGUUAUGCUGCCUUUAGAAAUCAACUAAACGCGGAAGUUCCGAGGUGGUACAUGUACGACUGCUUCAGAGUGAUAGGUCCUAGCCGCAGAAAAAAAGAUCAAGUAAUUUGGGUUCAUUGGUGUCCUGAUACAGGCCACGUGAAACAGAAAAUGUUGUACGCAGCAUCUAAAGAUGCCUUCAAGAAGGCAGUAGAUGCAAAGAUAAUGAUCGAGUGCUCGGAUUUCGAUGACAUUGAUCACGAUCGACUUCUUUCUAUUCUCAAAUAAGAGAGUUUCAAGAAACGAAGUGCUUUGUGAAGAGGCUGUCGAAUAGAGCUUAGUGGAUCAACGCAAUCGUAGUUUAAUUGUAGUGGAUACAAUGAGUUUCUUCCGGUUAUUGGAAACUUCCAUCUGUCCAUGUUGACGUGCAGAACUUGGGACCUGUUUUUGAUAGUUAUCAAAACAUGCUUUGAAUCGAUGGACCAAACGAAUGUAUGCUUCGGAAAUUGUCAACAAACUAUGGAUGAAUUUUAUGUCAUGUGUGGUUAAAUCCUGCAAAAAAAUGUUCAACUGGUCUGGUCCCAGAGAUCAAGACAUUGGUGCAUGUGACUUAUUUUUGGGAAAACAAAUCAAAUUUGGUUGAUACAAAAAACUGGGGGCUGAAAACUGAAUGUUUCUGAAGACCACAUCAUAACAAGAAUUCGCCUAAGUUUACUGAUCCAUUGCAAAUAUUCUGGUACUUGCAGUUAGCUUUAUGCUUAAUUUCGUUAGUAGGGCAUGUGAUUUGCCCCCUUUUUUUAUUGGGUAGUCCCCGCCUGCUGACAGUAUGCCAUUGUAAGGUGACGGUGUGUUUACAAAAAGUCAUGGAUGUAAACAGAACUCUUUUUAUUUGAAGGAAUUCAUUGACCUUUCCUCACUUGAGUUAUGAAAACAUAUAUUCAGCACAUUAUCACAUCAACAAUUCUGCUUAAUAUGUGUUAGACUUCCUGUAAAAAAAGAAAAUCAUAAAAAGUUGAGAAUAUUUGGUCAUUUAAUGGGUAAUGGUACCAAAUAUUCUCAACUUUUUUGGAUUAUUUCCUCUUUUAUUCAGAGUCUGAAACUGAUUAUUAAUAUAUUUGGUUUAAGUUAAUGACAUUGCUUGAUUCAGAAAUAUAUAAAAAUAAUUUGUUUGCCAACAUAUUUUACAAGAGAUUUGGUUGGCAGUUUAGAAUAGCAGAACAAUUCUUGUGUGGUGGCUAGAAGUUUUUACUACACUGUAGUAAAGUGUCUCGCUAUCUAAUCUCCAAGUAAAGCCCUUGCAGUAACUUCAGAAUGUAUAGUAUUGUUGUUCUGGUAGUCUCACAAUCAAUGAAAGGCUCUUGCAGUGACUUCAGAAUGCAUGCUAUUGAUGUUGUUCUGGUAGUCUGGUAGCAUUCACUUCAGUAUGCUAAUACAUGAUAUUGCUGUAGUUCUGGUAUUACUAUUAGGUUUCAAAAUGAUCAGAUAUAUCACUGACACAUUUUUAUGUAAGUUCAACAAAAUUGUAGGUAUACAGCUUGCUAGUAAUGUAUCUUUUAUUGGUUUAUACCCACCGGUGUACUGCUUGAAUUGCACAGUGUUGAUACAAAAAUGAAGGAAUUUAUAACUGCCACUAUGAACCAUCUACAUACAUCUAGUAUCUUGUAGGCCCAACCCGAUCUCACCUGUCACCAGCAAGUAUUAACUUCCAUUUCACCAAUACCAGGAGAAGCAUAAUCAUUGAACUGUUUUCCUCAACUUUUAAAAGUGGUCUGGUAGUAAGACAUUUUUUGGUCUGGUGGUUCAACUUUUUUAUAGAAAAGCCAUCUUCAAAUCAAAUAUGGCCCGGUUGUAUGUCUUAAUGGGCUGGAGGUACAAAAUAAGAUUCAAUUUCGGUUUGGUGGCCGCUCGAACUCCCAAUAGUGGAGUGGCAGUGGAGAACACUGGAACUCCCUUGUCAAUGUAACCAAUCAAUCCAUAUCAUUUAUCUAUUCUACUUUUUUUCAACCGUGAUUGUGUCAUAUCUAGGUAAAUACCUCGAAGUUGUAUUUAGAGGGGCAUUUAGUCAUGCUUUAAGAUUUGAAUGGGAGGGGAUCCCUUGCUAUCCCUCGCAGUGCCAAUCUCACCAAUUUUCUAUUGUGUAUCAGUAUCUGUUAUUUUUCCUGUUUUCAACCUAUUGCUUUUUUUCGAUGAAACGAGUGCACAUGAAACUUGAUUAAAUCAACAGCUAGGUCUUAAAAA